This 390-nucleotide ribosomal RNA is filed under the name Spisula sp. Its description in RNAcentral is "partial small subunit ribosomal RNA". It matches the Rfam family "Eukaryotic small subunit ribosomal RNA", at positions 587 to 975 of the family's 1831-position model. Lineage: Eukaryota; Metazoa; Mollusca; Bivalvia; Venerida; Mactridae. The record is from RNAcentral.
AGCUCCAAUAGCGUAUAUUAAAGUUGCUGCAGUUAAAAAGCUCGUAGUUGGAUCUCGGGUGCAGGCUUGCGGUCCGCCUCGCGGCGGUCACUGCUCGUCCUGACCUCCACGCCGGUUGUCCGCGCCUUGGUGCUCUUGAUUGAGUGUCUCGGCCGGCCGGAACGUUUACUUUGAAGAAAUUAGAGUGCUCAAAGCAGGCUACUACCGCCUGAAUAAUGGUGCAUGGAAUAAUGGAAUAGGACCUCGGUUCUAUUUUGCUGGUUUUCGGAGCUCGAGGUAAUGAUUAAUAGGGACAGACGGGGGCAUUCGUAUUGCGGCGCUAGAGGUGAAAUUCUUGGACCGUCGCAAGACGAACUACAGCGAUAGCAUUUGCCAAGCAUGCUUUCAUUA